AUGAGGCUUCCUCAGAGAUGGAAGAAGGUAAUAGAGCAAAAGGGUUCUUAUAUAACAAAAUAAAUAAUAUCUUAAACGGUAAACAUUGUAUAUUCAUUUUAUAUUAGAAAAAGGAAAGAAACUUAUGGGACACCCUAAUAUAUGAAAUAAAAAUAAUAUAUAGAUAAUAACAAUCAAUAUAUUGGUAAUUCAAAAAUGCGAAAAAUCUAAUACGUAAAAGUAUAUACAUAUAUGUAUCGCUUAUACAUAAGAUAGAUCUUCAAGGAAGUUCAAAGAUAAGAGAGAUAAAAGAAAAAAGAGGGUAAAAGAAAAUAGUUGAGGAUAGGAAAAGGGGAAAAACAGGGUAGCUUGAUGGUGCUUGCAAGGAACGCAACGAGAAGAGAGGCGUUUACGCUUGAGACGAAAAGUCGCGAUUGCGAAUCGCAGAAUCUUGUGCUUUCGUAGUGCUUUUAACGAAGAGGAAUGGAAAGUGAGAAAGAAAAAGAGAGAGCACCCAAGGGAGAGAGAGAGAGAGAAAGAGAAAGAGAGAGAGAGAGAGAGAGAGAAGAAAGAGGAAGAGAGAGAAAGAGAGAGAGAGCAGUGCGGCAUGUUGAUUAAGGGUACAUAAAAGCUUUCCGCCGUAAAUUCUCGUAGAAUAUGGCGCCCGUCAUUUCUGCGGUUCGCAAUAGCGAGAAAUCUUUCUUCCACGUUCCCGUCGUUUUAAGAGUUUCCAUCCGAGCGUGCCGAUGCUGCUCAAAAUCGUCAUGAACACCUAUAUGAAGACUCAAAGCUACGAAAAGUUACUUUCGCUCCUCUUCUCUCAAUAUGUACAUAAGUAAACACGUAAGUACGUACGUAUGUAUAUAGAAAAAGUACGUCACGUUGAUCACAUUACGAUACUUGACUUUCGAAGGAUCAUUCAUCAUUUAUCUUUUCCUUUGACAAAAAUAGUUAAAAGGUCGUAACGAUAAAUAUAUUGUAAAAAUAAUGUAAGAUUUAUUUUCCUUAUCAAUAAUUUUGAUCAAUAAAGUACGAAAUAUUUUAAUAUUUUAAUAUUUAAAAAUAUUGAAAUAAAAAUAUAAUGAAAUAUAUAUUAGAUAGGUAGUCUGACUAAAAUUCUAAAUGAUCGUUCGUCUUAGAGUAUAAAGAAUCUUUUGUUUCUGUUAAAAAAAAUUCAAUCGAAUAUAAGUUUUUUUAACUGGAAAAAUAUUCGUUUGAAAAGAAAAUCGUAAUAUCCGUGAGAUUGACUUAAGAGCUCGAUAUUGCUCAUUUAACGAAGAAACACCUGGCCUAAGAUGGUCUGGGUUGUCUUGCCGGCCGUUCGACCGGAUGGACGGCGAUUAAUUUCGCGAGUGGAAAACUCUUGUCUUCAAAGGAGCUUAGGAGAUGGAAACACCGAUGGCCGGGAAAAUGAAAUCCCGCAGGCCAGGAAGUACGUCGAAAAGCUUUAAAAGGCGUACCAGGAUUGUCGGUUGAAGGACGAAGACUAUGAACGAAGGAACGAACGAACGAACGAACGAAUGACGGAACGAAUGAACGAACGAACGAACGAAGCAAGUGGAGAAGCAAAAAGAAACGAGAUAGAAGAAGCAGAGAGGGAAGAAAGGACGGUAAGAAAUCGCUUUAUGAACGCGCUGACGAGCGCGGAUUGUUACCCGGAGACUAUCUUUAUCUCUCUUCUCUUUUCUUGAACCCUGCGGCUUCAACUUCGAACACUACCGAACGCCGGUAGAAGCAAAUUGGAGGAAAACGUUAUUGCUCAUAACGGAAGCUUCUUGUCCUCGAAGACUAUAACGAAGAUUGGAAGAAUAUGAAGAGGAAGAGAAGAAAAAGUCUUCUAUAUUUUCUCAACUCUCUAAAUUAGAAAGAUAGAAUACCGAGCAUGCAAAAAGUAAAAGGCUUUGGUGUGAUUCUACAACUGAAACAGCUUUAAAUUACUUUGCCAAGUAAUUACAUUGAAAUGAAAAGUACGUAAGGGUAGAGAUUAGAAUGUCGACGUGCCACCACGAUGACGAUGAUUAUCCUUUCUUCCGUUACACUUUUUAAUUAGCUUUAUAAUUAAGACAACCAACUGGAAGCUUUCUAAUAUCGUCCUCUUUCUCUCUCUCUUUCUCUUUCUCUCUCUCUCUCUCUUUCUCUAUCUAUCUAUCUAUCUAUCUAUCUAUCUAUCUAUCUUUCUUUAUUUUUCUCUUUAUCUUUUUCGAUAUUCCAUUGGAGAUCAAAGCAAAGUAUAAAAUCAAGCAAAUCUAUUGAAAAUAGUGUAGUAAAUCUUGAAGAAUGUAGAACGUUAAAGCUUCCAGAGUACUCUACGGCUUUAAUGUCAACCUCUUUUGGAAAAUGGCGAAGCUGCGGCGUACCGAAUAACCUUCGUGAAAUCUUUUCAGAAAGAGAAAAGAGAUUUCGUUAAAUCGUUUACGAAUUUAUUCUGAUUUUUGUAAAACUCGAAUACGACCUUUCCAAAACUAAUAAAGUUUUUACGCUAGAAUGCCGGUUUUCAUCUAAGCUUAUUUCCUUUCUCUCUAUUCUUUUCUGCGCUUCUUCUCUAAUCUUUUGUUUUCUUAACCGAAAAGACAUCUUAUGCGAAAAGCAUGGUUAUUCUAUAAAUUUUCCUAAGUUAUCCCAGCCAUAAAUUAUCAAUUUAUCACAUUGAUAUCGUCGAUAACGGCGAGAUAAAAGAUGAGAAAGGAAAAUAUAUUCACAGAAUGCUUUCUCUUCGAUAGAUAUUUGUAUUUUUCUUAUCGAUACGCGUCAAGGUUUCGAUAGGGUGGAAAAGAAAAAUGCAGAACAUAUAUAGAUAGACACGAAUGUAUCGGUAUCACGCGAACGUGCUAACGGCUUCACCGCUGUUAGAAUUCGAAGCGACGCAGCUGUAAUUUUGGUUAACGUUAGCAGAAAUUCUCGCAGCUCUAUGCAAACCGAUAUUGUCGUUUUAACGAACAUCACGAUGCCCAUGCAGGAUAGAUGUACGCUUGUGUUGCUAACAGCACUACCGAGGAUUAUUAUCCAGUACGGUUUGUCCUCGACAGUGCGAGCGAUAAAAGUGGAACUUUUAUCGUGCAAAAUACGACAGUGAUUAUAGAAAAAGCCAACUUUUAAUAUUUCAACGGUUACAUCAUUUGAUAUGAAAAAUAUAUCGAGAAUUACUCGGCCGAUAUUAAAAUGUUUUUCGAAGCGUUUUCGAAUUGAUUUGCAAUUUUAAAAAAAAUCGAUCGUUAAUGGACACGUUUAUCGCUAAAUUCGAAGCUAAUUGAAACGAAACGAUACUACGUUAAUGACUGUUCUCAAUGUAAAAUCAAUGGGAAAAUAAAGGUCAACCGAUUAGAAACUGUCAUGGCUCGUGUAAAAUAUAUUUUAUUAUUUAUAUAGAUUAUGAUGACAAAAUAAAUCAGAAGAAUAAAAGUUCCUUUUUUUCUUCGUAUUAUUCGUUCCUUUGUUCUUUUUCUUUAAAACUUCAUCUACGCAUUAUGUAUUCGAAUCGCAAUCUACUUAUAAAGUUAAUUAUCAUUUUUAUUAAUGAAAUUACUACUUAAUUACAUACGAAAUCAAUUAAUGAAUUUAAUAAAAUAUAUUUGAUUAAUGUUACGAAGUCCCUUGAAAGAUCAUUGAAGUACUUGAAGUGAGUCAGUUAGCCUUCGAACCUUGCGACCUGAGAUGCACAGGACAUGGCGCAUCGUAGCGUCCCACGUGCGUCAAGCUUCCGGUUCUAAGUUAAUCCUAACUUAGUCUUAACUUUCUUCUUAGAAGCUAGACUUGGAUGAACGCUCGCAUGGUAAUGCAAUGAUUAAUCUUUCCUCGGUUAUAAGUUAGGAGCAAGUUCGAAGUAAGUUACGGCUCUGCAGCAUUAAUUUAGCAAAGCGCGUAUCGAUUAACACUAAUGUAUUCGAUCUAAACGUUUAUAUGAUAAACGAACGAAAGAAAUUAAAAAGAAUGAAUAAUCACGUUCUUUUAUCGAUUAAUACACUAAUCCCAAAAGACAUUAGCCUAUUAUAUUGGCUAGUUAAAUUGAGUACUCGAAUAACUUGAUUACGGAAGCAUCGUCGUCAUAAUUAAUUCGAAUAGAAAAAAAACAUUUAAUAGUAAAAGGAUCUAAUGAUUUCAGAUAAACUUAUUAAUUUUCUUUGUCUUUUUUUAAAUGUCUUUCAUUAUAUAAGAAUAUUAAAGUGUAACGAAACAGAUUCUUCUUAAGUCACAAAACGAUUUCAAAUACUUUCUAAACUUUGUUAUUCCAACGAAUUUAUCGAUCGAUAACAGGAAGAAAAGUCACUAGUAGAAUUGAUAGGAAGUAAAUGGAUAAAUAAAAAAUGGAUUUUAAAAGAUAUAAAGACUAAUGAUACUUUUGCAAUUUGAUUACAUUUGAUUAAUUAACAUCUUAUAGCUCGUUAGAGGAACAACAUUUCAUCGAUAAUAAAAUUAUCUUUUAUCGGUGAUAAGUAAGAUGAGAGAUAUUAUUUUCGUUGUCAGACAUUCCAGGAUGGAAAUAUUUUUUUUUCAUAUUUCCAAAUACGAUCGAGAAACAAUCUUCAUUUAUUCUUUUGUUAUCUCUUAGUAGAUUCAGUGAGUAUGUUUACAUCUCUCACCAUGAGACGUCUGUAACUUGGCAUGCAACGGAGUAAUUCCGUUUAAUCGCUCGCACUCCCCAUCCCUGUCCCUCCCACUUUUCUACACCAUUACUACAUGUUGCGAAGCGAGUACACGGUUCCGCUUAAUUAAAUACUUCAAGUUUAAUUAAACAGUACUCAUAAGAGAAAACAGUGCACGCGGGAUAAAUAGAAUAUGUUCAACCGCAUGAAACAAUAUAUGUAAUUAACCGAAGAUAUUGCAAGCACGGUGUUGCGUAAAUAAUAGUAUCGCGUCAAGUAACAGCUAUUUAUUUCGCUUAUCGCUUAAUUAACUAUUCCCGAUCGGCGGCUGCAAUGCUAUUAGUACGAUUUAUGUUCGGCCACUAUCACUUUGUACGUAAAUAUACCCUAAUACCAAUACAUACGGAUUUCACCGUGGCAUUAUGUCACUUAUCGAAUACGAUUAACGUUGUUGGAUUAAACGUAAAUCACGAAAUCUUUUUCAUAGAAAAUCAUUAUUUUUCGUAGACAAUAUGUUGAAACAUAAUAGUUAUACGUGAUAAUGUUCUAUACACGUAGUAUAAAUCAGCGAAGCGAAUAAAACAAUAAAAAUGGUCGAUGCCCUAGAGUAUAUCGAAUACGAAAUACGUUAGCCCAUCCAGCCGAUAUCCCCGGAGCCACAUUAAUUUGCCGAAGUUACAUUAUUUUGGGAGAACGGCUCGCGUACGCGUUCUGAAUUUAUCGGUUAGUUAACGCCGUGCAGGAUUUCAUAGAGAAGCCGCUUGGAUAACCGUAUAAGAUACUCAAUCGAUUAUAUCUCGUUGUUGAUUGAUCCUACAGGUGAUUCAAAACUAAUUCUUGUAUUAUAAUUCAAACUUCUACAUAUAUGUAUAUAUAUAUAUAUAUAUAUAUAUAUAUAUAUAUAUAUGUA
Long non-coding RNA from Vespa velutina, 5469 nucleotides. RefSeq lists it as uncharacterized. The record is from RefSeq and is a predicted model, not a curated record. NCBI's taxonomy places the organism in Eukaryota, Metazoa, Arthropoda, Insecta, Hymenoptera, Vespidae. The transcript is spliced from 2 exons.